AGUGAACGCUGGCGGUAGGCCUAACACAUGCAAGUCGAACGGCAGCACAGUAAGAGCUUGCUCUUACGGGUGGCGAGUGGCGGACGGGUGAGGAAUACAUCGGAAUCUACUUUUUCGUGGGGGAUAACGUAGGGAAACUUACGCUAAUACCGCAUACGACCUACGGGUGAAAGCAGGGGAUCUUCGGACCUUGCGCGGUUGAAUGAGCCGAUGUCGGAUUAGCUAGUUGGCGGGGUAAAGGCCCACCAAGGCGACGAUCCGUAGCUGGUCUGAGAGGAUGGUAAGCCACACUGGAACUGAGACACGGUCCAGACUCCUACGGGAGGCAGCAGUGGGGAAUAUUGGACAAUGGGCGCAAGCCUGAUCCAGCCAUACCGCGUGGGUGACGAAGGCCUUCGGGUUGUAAAGCCCUUUUGUUGGGAAAGAAAAGCAGCAGGUUAAUACCCCGCUGUUCUGACGGUACCCAAAGAAUAAGCACCGGCUAACUUCGUG
This 492-nucleotide ribosomal RNA is filed under the name uncultured bacterium. RNAcentral's name for it is "partial 16S ribosomal RNA". It matches the Rfam family "Bacterial small subunit ribosomal RNA", at positions 29 to 507 of the family's 1533-position model. The record is from RNAcentral.